AUUAUUGGACAAUGGGGGCAACCCUGAUCCAGCCAUGCAUCGUGUGUGAAGAAGGUCUUCUGAUUGUAAAGCACUUUAAGUUGGGAGGAUGGGCUUUAGGUUAAUACCCUGAAGAUCUGACGUCACGAACAGAUUAAGCUCCGGCUAAACAUGUGCCCGCAGCCGCGGUAAUACAGAGGGUUCAAGCGUUAAUCGGAAUUACUGGGAGUAAAGCGCGCGUAGGUGGUUCAGUAAGAUGGGUGUGAAAUCCCCGGGCUUAACCUGGGAACUGCUUUCAUAACUGCUGAGCUAGAGUACGGUAGAGGGUAGUGGAAUUUCCUGUGUAGCGGUGAAAUGCGUAGAUAUAGGAAGGAACACCAGUGGCGAAGGCGACUACCUGGACUGAUACUGACACUGAGGUGCGAAAGCGUGGGGAGCAAA
This 420-nucleotide ribosomal RNA is filed under the name uncultured bacterium. Its description in RNAcentral is "partial 16S ribosomal RNA". It matches the Rfam family "Bacterial small subunit ribosomal RNA", at positions 360 to 772 of the family's 1533-position model. The record is from RNAcentral.